CAAGCGAUGGGGUGACGCAGGAAGGUAGCUGGGCCAGUCAGUGGUUGUACUGGUGUAAGAGUGUAGGCCGUGACAUAGGCAAAUCCGUGUCACAUUAAGGCUGAGACUUGAUGCAUACCCGUUGUGGGGAAUUCAGUGAUCCUAUGCUGCCGAGAAAAGCCUCUAGUGAGUUCAUACACGGCCCGUACCCCAAACCGACACAGGUGAUCAGGUAGAGAAUACCAAGGCGAUCGAGAGAACUGUGGUUAAGGAACUCGGCAAAAUGCCCCCGUAACUUCGGGAGAAGGGGGACCAUGCCCGGUGAACAUCUUCACGGUGGGAGCUGGGUGUGGUCGCAGAGACCAGAGAGAAGCGACUGUUUACUAAAAACACAGGUCCGUGCGAAGACGUAAGUCGAUGUAUACGGACUGACGCCUGCCCGGUGCUGGAAGGUUAAGAGGACCGGUUAGCCGUAAGGCGAAGCUGAGAAUUUAAGCCCCAGUAAACGGCGGUGGUAACUAUAACCAUCCUAAGGUAGCGAAAUUCCUUGUCGGGUAAGUUCCGACCUGCACGAAUGGCGUAACGACUUCUCUGCUGUCUCGACCACAGACUCGGCGAAAUUGCACUACGAGUAAAGAUGCUCGUUACGCGCGGCAGGACGAAAAGACCCCGGGACCUUUACUAUAGCUUGGUAUUGGCGUUCGAUUCGGUUUGUGUAGGAUAGGUGGGAGACUGUGAAGCAUGCACGCCAGUGUGUGUGGAGUCGUUGUUGAAAUACCACUCUGAUCGUAUUGGACGUCUAACCUCGGCCCAUGAUCUGGGUUAGGGACAGUGCCUGGUGGGUAGUUUAACUGGGGCGGUUGCCUCCUAAAGAGUAACGGAGGCGCCCAAAGGUUCCCUCAGCCUGGAUGGCAAUCAGGUGUUGAGUGCAAGUGCACAAGGGAGCUUGACUGUGAGACUGACACGUCGAGCAGGGACGAAAGUCGGGACUAGUGAUCCGGCACCGGCAAGUGGAAGCGGUGUCGCUCAACGGAUAAAAGGUACCCCGGGGAUAACAGGCUGAUCUUCCCCAAGAGUCCAUAUCGACGGGAUGGUUUGGCACCUCGAUGUCGGCUCGUCGCAUCCUGGGGCUGGAGUAGGUCCCAAGGGUUGGGCUGUUCGCCCAUUAAAGCGGCACGCGAGCUGGGUUUAGAACGUCGUGAGACAGUUCGGUCUCUAUCCGCCGCGCGCGUAAGAAACUUGAGGAAGGCUGCCCCUAGUACGAGAGGACCGGGACGGACGAACCUCUGGUGUGCCAGUUGUUCCACCAGGAGCAUGGCUGGUUAGCUACGUUCGGAAGGGAUAACCGCUGAAAGCAUCUAAGCGGGAAGCCUGUUCCAAGAUGAGGUUUCUCACCACCUUGCGUGGUUAAGGCCCCCUACAGACCAUGGGGUUGAUAGGCCGGAACUGGAAGCGCAGCAAUGCGUGGAGGUGACCGGUACUAAUAGGCCGAGGGCUUAC
RNAcentral lists this ribosomal RNA (1479 nucleotides) under metagenome. RNAcentral's name for it is "bacterial LSU rRNA". It matches the Rfam family "Bacterial large subunit ribosomal RNA", at positions 1458 to 2925 of the family's 2925-position model. The record is from RNAcentral.